Carassius gibelio (silver crucian carp) is the source of this 1388-nucleotide long non-coding RNA. RefSeq lists it as uncharacterized. The record is from RefSeq and is a predicted model, not a curated record. NCBI's taxonomy places the organism in Eukaryota, Metazoa, Chordata, Actinopteri, Cypriniformes, Cyprinidae. The transcript is spliced from 4 exons.
ACAUUUCAACCCAUUCUCACUCCAAAGGCGUCAAAAACCGAAGCAUGGUCAAGCGCCCCUAGCGUCACUUUUAUGACGCCAAAUGUGCCUCUCGGCGUCGACUAUCGAAGCACUACGACCUUCAUUGCUUUCAGUGGGAAACUUUUGGCGUCAGAAUUCGACACGAGGACAUGAGAUGUUUAUCGCUAUGAAAUCACGUUCAAGAAGUCUCAUUCAGCACACAUCGCGCGAUACUUGCUAUCAGUUCCACAGUUUGGCUGAAAAGACGUAAAGGCAGUCAGCCCAGUGGUGUUUCUGGAGAGGGAUUCCUUCAGAAAUGGAGAAGACAGAAAGCUGCGGAGGCAGAUAUUUGCAGCAUGUUCGAGUGAGCAUGAUGACCACGAGUGUGUGUCGAACUUUUCAUGACCUGAUGACUGUGUUUCCCAAUCCUGAUCCUGGAGAACCCCAGCACUGCACGGUUUUGGCGUCUCUCUUAUCUGCCUUGGAGUCUUCACUGAUGAGCUGAUGAGUUGAAUCAGGUGUGUUUGAUCAGGGAGACAUCUCAAAUGUGCAGUGUUGGGCUUCUCCAGGACCAGGAUUGGGAGCCACUGCCUUAUGGGACACUUAUGUGUUUAAAGAGAUUUUUAAUAUCUAAUUAUCAAUAUUUCACAUACUGUACAUUGGACAGCUUUCCAUGACCUCUUGUGAGAUCUCGGCAAAAAGUCUGACGAUUUAUUCCAAAACAUGAUGCAUGAUGGGAUACACUAAGCUUUGUAUAGCGCUCCAGAGCAGUAUUGGAGAGGUUUAGUGUGUGUUAAGGACGCUGUGCUUUGGCAUUAUUAAGACCGGGGACAGUCUUGUGCACACACUGUCACGUACACACACUCUCAAGUGGCCAAGACUGCAAGUGUGGGUAUCUGGACAGGGUCAAAGUCUUAAAAAUGAUCCCUAAACACAUCACAGUCUUAAUAAUCCAGUUUAACACUUGUAUGAUAUUGUACAAGCCCCAGGACUGUCUCAUCUGACACUAUCAAAGAAUUCAUAUGACUAUAGCUUGUUAUUAAUUACUUGCUUUCAAUAAUGGAUUCAUUUAACAUUUAAUUAUACAGCAUCUUUACAGAGGUGUAAUGUACAAGCUGCACGUAAUUAAUAAUAUGUCCUUCCUUCUGUCUUACAGGAUUUUUUCCAGAUAAUGCUGUUCUUCUUUUUCAGGUCUAAAAUAUCGAGCUCAACAGCUAUUUUAAGAGCCAACCCUCACAAACCUUCCUAAAACCUAAAAGAGCUAUUACUGAGUCUCAGCGAAUCUUGCCAUGAUCAGCUCUUCCCAGAAGAGAAGGAAGACCAAGGAAAUUAUUUGCUCAGGAUGAGAAAUGAAGACGGCCAUCUUGUGCUCAAACAAACAGAAGUCC